Molecule: ribosomal RNA, 440 nt
Filed under: uncultured bacterium
Lineage: Bacteria
Description: partial 16S ribosomal RNA
Rfam family: Bacterial small subunit ribosomal RNA
Source: RNAcentral
CCUACGGGUGGCAGCAGUGGGGAAUAUUGCACAAUGGGGGAAACCCUGAUGCAGCGACGCCGCGUGAGUGAAGAAGGAUUUCGGUAUGUAAAGCUCUAUCAGCAGAGAAGAAAAUGACGGUACGUGAUCAAUAAUGCCCGGCUAACUUCGUGCCAGCAGCCGCGGUAAUACGUAGGGGGCAAGCGUUAUCCGGAUUUACUGGGUGUAAAGGGAGCGUAGACGGCAGGGCAAGUCUGAAGUGAAAUGCGGCGGCUUAACCCCAGAAUUGCUUUGGAAACUGUGAAGCUAGAGUGCAGUAGAGGUAAGUGGAAUUCCUAGUGUAGCGGUGAAAUGCGUAGAUAUUAGGAGGAACACCAGUGGCGAAGGCGGCUUACUGGACUGUAACUGACGUUGAGGCUCGAAAGCGUGGGUAGCAAACAGGAUUAGAUACCCGAGUAGUC